AGUUAGCGGCGGACGGGUGAGUAACACGUGGGUAACCUGCCCAUAAGACUGGGAUAACUCCGGGAAACCGGGGCUAAUACCGGAUAACAUUUUGAACUGCAUGGUUCGAAAUUGAAAGGCGGCUUCGGCUGUCACUUAUGGAUGGACCCGCGUCGCAUUAGCUAGUUGGUGAGGUAACGGCUCACCAAGGCAACGAUGCGUAGCCGACCUGAGAGGGUGAUCGGCCACACUGGGACUGAGACACGGCCCAGACUCCUACGGGAGGCAGCAGUAGGGAAUCUUCCGCAAUGGACGAAAGUCUGACGGAGCAACGCCGCGUGAGUGAUGAAGGCUUUCGGGUCGUAAAACUCUGUUGUUAGGGAAGAACAAGUGCUAGUUGAAUAAGCUGGCACCUUGACGGUACCUAACCAGAAAGCCACGGCUAACUACGUGCCAGCAGCCGCGGUAAUACGUAGGUGGCAAGCGUUAUCCGGAAUUAUUGGGCGUAAAGCGCGCGCAGGUGGUUUCUUAAGUCUGAUG
RNAcentral lists this ribosomal RNA (519 nucleotides) under Bacillus toyonensis. RNAcentral describes it as "bacterial SSU rRNA". It matches the Rfam family "Bacterial small subunit ribosomal RNA", at positions 90 to 594 of the family's 1533-position model. Lineage: Bacteria; Bacillati; Bacillota; Bacilli; Caryophanales; Bacillaceae. The record is from RNAcentral.